This 461-nucleotide ribosomal RNA is filed under the name uncultured Methylomirabilota bacterium. RNAcentral's name for it is "bacterial SSU rRNA". It matches the Rfam family "Bacterial small subunit ribosomal RNA", at positions 977 to 1435 of the family's 1533-position model. Lineage: Bacteria; Methylomirabilota (SeqCode). The record is from RNAcentral.
GGGCUUGACAUCCCACGAACCUGCCCGAAAGGGUAGGGUGCCCGCAAGGGAGCGUGGAGACAGGUGGUGCAUGGCUGUCGUCAGCUCGUGUCGUGAGAUGUUGGGUUAAGUCCCGCAACGAGCGCAACCCUCACCCCUAGUUGCCACCGGGUAAUGCCGAGCACUCGAGGGAAACUGCCAGCGUCAAGCUGGAGGAAGGCGGGGAUGACGUCAAGUCAUCAUGCCCCUUACGCCCUGGGCUACACACGUGCUACAAUGGCCAGUACAAAGGGAUGCGAGACCGUAAGGUGGAGCUAAUCCCAAAAAGCUGGUCUAAGUUCAGAUUGCAGUCUGCAACUCGACUGCAUGAAGGAGGAAUCGCUAGUAAUCGCGCAUCAGCACGGCGCGGUGAAUACGUUCCCGGGCCUUGUACACACCGCCCGUCACGCCACGAAAGCUGGCUGUACUCGAAGUCGCUGAGA